RNAcentral lists this long non-coding RNA (517 nucleotides) under Eucalyptus grandis. RNAcentral describes it as "long non-coding RNA (EGRA_LNC001223)". Lineage: Eukaryota; Viridiplantae; Streptophyta; Magnoliopsida; Myrtales; Myrtaceae. The record is from RNAcentral.
CCCAGAAACUUCAUUAUAACUACAAAUUUGAUAAAAAUUUCACACUACAACACUUAUUAAAAACCAAAUGCAACACUGCAUGGGAAUCCAUCAUCAAAAAUGUAUUUCACAUAGGAUAAAAGAUGUAGAUAGAGAGUAACAUGUUUAUCAACCAUUAGCAUCCAUUGAACUAACGUUACAAGAAAAAGUUUUCUUUGGAGAAUAGUAUCUAAUUCCCUUGGGAAAAGGCGGUCAUUUGGAGGACAACUACAUGGAAAUCUUGCCCUAAAGAAAGACAUUUGUUCAAAGAGGUUGCUCAAAUAAAUCUGGGACACAUUUUUCCUCAGAGAAGCCAGCAUUAAUCAGGAGUGCAAAUGACAUAACCAUCAACCAAAGUAAUUGAUCAUCAUACAAGUUCCGCGCAAAAUUUGGAGAAAUGCCACAAUGAAGUGGCACACCUUCAAAUCUGACUGCAGAGUAAAAGGAGACCUUCCAUGCCUUCUGAACUUCAUUGAAAAGGAGGACACAUUGAUCAUUU